Molecule: long non-coding RNA, 1135 nt
Filed under: Linum usitatissimum (flax)
Lineage: Eukaryota; Viridiplantae; Streptophyta; Magnoliopsida; Malpighiales; Linaceae
Description: long non-coding RNA (LUSI_LNC003099)
Source: RNAcentral
AUUCAGUCACUACAGAAUGCGACGAGAACAUAUAAAAAAAAUUACUGGGAAAACAGAUGCGUUUCUGCGCUUUUGAACGAUAAGAGGAAGGGCCACACGACUUGCAUUAACAGCAUCGUCCACUCACAUAAAUGCUUCACUGGAAGUGAAAACUAAACUAAAUUAACAGAUGCAACACCUUAGCUACUAACCCCUACUUACUUACUAGUUAAUAAUACAAACCCAGAGUUCCUAAAUUCUACGCAACAACAACUGAAUCCUGAUGCAAUACUAGUACUAUUUUACUACUAGAUUAAUACUUCAGCCAUGGGCUUCAAGGACAGGGCAGCAGGCCGCCAACGCCGCCGCCGGCCCCACCAAACCCACCGAUUCCUCCAUAGUGGAUUCCUCCGAGCACCGGAAACCCACCCACAACGCCAGCAUAGCCGCCCACCCCUGCGAAGACGCCGAGGAGGCCGCCGAUGCCCCCGCCGUAUAUGAAGUUUUUGUUGUCAUUGUGAUUCAUCCCAACGGCUCCAGCUGCUGGCGACUCCGCCGGCGUAAGAUCAAACCUCUGCUCGUUCUUGGCAUCCAAGCCGGCGGGCUUGGGCAUUGGCACCCAUGGGAUGCAGGGGAGAAAGGUCUUCUGGUCGGCGGUGGUUGGAAUGGGUCUUGCAUUUGAAAGCACGACUAGUGUGGCCAUGAAAAGGACGUAAAACAUCGCCAUUAUAAUAAUCGGCUAUCUCUCCUGCUCUUACAGUCUGGAUUGGUAAUCUGCUGCAUCGGUAAAGUUAGAUCAUGCGUAAAUAUAUAUAUAGGAAGGAAACGUGGGAGAAGAAGAGUUUGGUAGCGGUUGCGGAGGUUAUUAAAUAUAUCUGGACAGAGUUAUAUUAAUUGGGGUUUGCAUUGCAUGUAACCGGAUUCGUCCUUCUGGCCGGUGAAGAAGCUCAGAUGCUGCAAUUAUAUCCCUGCCGGCUGCCCUUCACCCUUGCAUGCAUUACUCGUAUAUGACAAAAAUGGAACUUGUAAUCAAGUCCAAUCUCCAAACCUCAAAUCUUACAACUGUGCUUCUCUUUGAUCUUGUUUUAACAUUAAAUCCCUUUAGAGUGCAUUUGGAUGGUAGAGAUGACGUGGUAGGUGGCAUAGACAAAUUUAU